Molecule: long non-coding RNA, 1047 nt
Filed under: Strigops habroptila (Kakapo)
Lineage: Eukaryota; Metazoa; Chordata; Aves; Psittaciformes; Psittacidae
Description: lncRNA (ENSSHBG00005001146.1)
Source: RNAcentral
UGAUGGAGAGCUCUGAUGAGCUGCUUUGAGGCUUUAUUGAUUUGUCAGCUUGUGAUGGCAGUGCAGCGCAGCGCAGCACGAGUCGGCAGCUCAGCAUCAUGUCCUGGCAUGGCAGAACCAGCCCACAGAGCUGGUGCCACACCACAAAGCGUGGGCAGCGUAGCACAGGGCAGACCCGGCACGGGCACAGCACCAGCAUGGGCACAGCACCAGCAUGGGUACAGCACUGGCACAGCACCAGCAUGGGCACAACACCAGCAAGGGUACAGCACUAGCAUGGGCACAGCACUGGCACAGCACCAGCAUGGGCACAGCACUGGCACAGCCACAGCACUGGCACGGGCACGACACCAGCACGGGCACAACACCCGCAGGGGUACAGCACUGGCAUGGGCACAGCACCGGCAUGGCCACAGCACCAGCACAGGACAGCACCAGCACAGGUGCAGCACUGGCACGGGCACAGCACCGGCAUGGCCACAGCACCGGCACAGGUACAGCACCCACAGGAAACCAGGAUAGAGCUGGUUUCACACAGCACAGCGUGAGCAGCAUGGAGCAAUGGAGCAGCACUGCAUGGCUUUUGCAACACAAAUCAACAACUGAACCCCGUGUGUGCAGCACCUGAGGUGGUUGCCCUUUUCUCCAGGCCAAUGACUGAAGUUCCAACCACCACAGGAGAAACAGGGAAGGAAGAGCCAUCAGGGGUUUUCCCCUUAAGGUGCCAUGUGAUUUUGGAAGGCCAUAAGACAAACUGGGGAAUGACAGUGGUUCUAUUCAGCACCAGUGAGGCCUCUGCUGAUCCAACCAGUGGGUCUGGAUUUCUGGACCACCUUCUCAUGCCAGCUCAAGUCCAGCUCACAAAGUCCUCUCUUUGGCUUACACCAAGGUCUGCAAUUCUAGUGACAAGGCAUCACAGUGCUGGGGAAGCCUGAAUAAACUGGGAGAAGCUGGGUAUAAAGAAUGGAAUGCGGCAGAUGGGAAACUGCACCUGAGCUUUCCAAGUCUGUCCCUCUCCUCCCUUUUCCAAGUACUCCCAGCCAGCAA